UACGUAGGGGGCAAGCGUUGUCCGGAUUUAUUGGGCGUAAAGAGCGUGUAGGCGGCUAGAUAGGUCCGUUGUGAAAACUCGAGGCUCAACCUCGAGACGUCGAUGGAAACCAUCUGGCUAGAGUCCGGAAGAGGAGAGUGGAAUUCCUGGUGUAGCGGUGAAAUGCGCAGAUAUCAGGAAGAACACCCGUGGCGAAGGCGGCUCUCUGGGCCGAUACUGACGCUGAGGAGCGAAAGCGUGGGGAGCGAACAGG
This 253-nucleotide ribosomal RNA is filed under the name uncultured bacterium. Its description in RNAcentral is "partial 16S ribosomal RNA". It matches the Rfam family "Bacterial small subunit ribosomal RNA", at positions 524 to 776 of the family's 1533-position model. The record is from RNAcentral.